Non-coding RNA from Paramuricea clavata, 351 nucleotides. The record is from the annotation of a GenBank genome assembly. NCBI's taxonomy places the organism in Eukaryota, Metazoa, Cnidaria, Anthozoa, Malacalcyonacea, Plexauridae.
CAAUGUUUCUGACAGAGUUGUACAGGCAAUACUGUAAACAGAAACAAUAUAUUGUAUCACCAAACAAUUCUAUCAAACGAAUUGACAAGUUGCAAAAGAAUCCAAAUGCUGUUUGUUUGUUACAUUCACACCAUGAUGAUUCAUACAUUUACAGUUCAAUUAAAAAAUCCCAAAUCUUGUAUAAACACAGUCCUAGCAUACGUGUAUGCUUGUAAGUCUUGUACGCUUGAAUUUCUUUUCAAUAAUAACACUCCAAUAUAGUAGAUCAAGGACAUAUGCCAUCAUUCCCAUCAAUACUCACUCAGGGUGAACCAAGAGUAUGAAUUAUUACCAUAACGAAGGCUGUUAUUU